UGGGGAAUAUUGCGCAAUGGGCGAAAGCCUGACGCAGCGACGCCGCGUGGGGGAUGAAGCUUCUCGGAGUGUAAACCCCUUUCGACCCGGACGAAUGUCUCGCAAGAGAUUGACGGUACGGGUAUAAGAAGCCCCGGCUAACUACGUGCCAGCAGCCGCGGUAAUACGUAGGGGGCCAGCGUUGCUCGGAAUUACUGGGCGUAAAGGGUUCGUAGGCGGUGCGGCAAGUCGGGAGUGAAAUCUCUGGGCUCAACUCAGAGGCUGCUUCCGAAACUGCCGUGCUUGAGUGCGGGAGAGGCGAGUGGAAUUACAGGUGUAGCGGUGAAAUGCGUAGAUAUCUGUAGGAACACCCGUGGCGAAGGCGGCUCGCUGGACCGCAACUGACGCUGAGGAACGAAAGCUAGGGGAGCAAACAGG
This 417-nucleotide ribosomal RNA is filed under the name uncultured bacterium. RNAcentral's name for it is "bacterial SSU rRNA". It matches the Rfam family "Bacterial small subunit ribosomal RNA", at positions 355 to 776 of the family's 1533-position model. The record is from RNAcentral.